UUGCGUAAAAAUCCUUGAAAAAUUUAAAAAAACAUCAAGAUGGGUCUCUCGCCAGAUGCUAAAGAACGUCUCGGAACAGUUUUCGAAAUUGUCAAGACUGCAUUCCAUUAUGGAUUUAUUCCAACAGUUCUUUAUCUCGGUUUUCGCAAAGGACCUGAACCUGGACAACCUCCAUUGAGCGUCUUGAGCCUCUUGUGGCAAUAAAAUUUACCUGAUAGAAAUAAAAAUAGAGAGAAUUUGUGUUAAAAAUGGGAUAAAAUGUUGGAAUUAUGCAUAAAUUGAGUCCCGUUUUGGGAAAACGUGGAUUCCAAAGUUA
This is a long non-coding RNA of Culicoides brevitarsis, 316 nucleotides long. RefSeq lists it as uncharacterized. Lineage: Eukaryota; Metazoa; Arthropoda; Insecta; Diptera; Ceratopogonidae. The record is from RefSeq and is a predicted model, not a curated record. The transcript is spliced from 2 exons.